AAUGAACGUUGGCGGCGUGGAUUAGGCAUGCAAGUCGAGCGAUAACCGUAGCAAUACGGCGAAAGCGGCGAAAGGGAGAGUAACACGCGGGUACCUACCCUCGGAUCCGGGAUAGCCAUGGGAAACUAUGGGUAAUACCGGAUAACGUCUUCGGACCAAAGGUGUGAUUCCGUCCGGGGAGGGGCCCACGUCCUAUUAGCUAGUUGGUGAGGUAACGGCUCACCAAGGCGAAGAUGGGUACGGGAUGUGAGAGCAUGAUCCCGCUCAUUGGGACUGAGACACUGCCCAGACACCUACGGGUGGCUG
Molecule: ribosomal RNA, 306 nt
Filed under: uncultured Planctomycetota bacterium
Lineage: Bacteria; Pseudomonadati; Planctomycetota
Description: bacterial SSU rRNA
Rfam family: Bacterial small subunit ribosomal RNA
Source: RNAcentral